GAGUUUUGAUCCUGGCUCAGGAUGAACGCUAGCUACAGGCUUAACACAUGCAAGUCGAGGGGAAACGGACAUCGAAAGACUUGCUUUUGUAUGGGCGUCGACCGGCGCACGGGUGAGUAACGCGUAUCCAACCUGCCCACCACUUGGGGAUAACCUUGCGAAAGUAAGACUAAUACCCAAUGAUAUCUCUAGAAGACAUCUGAAAGAGAUUAAAGAUUUAUCGGUGAUGGAUGGGGAUGCGUCUGAUUAGCUUGUUGGCGGGGUAACGGCCCACCAAGGCAACGAUCAGUAGGGGUUCUGAGAGGAAGGUCCCCCACAUUGGAACUGAGACACGGUCCAAACUCCUACGGGAGGCAGCA
Molecule: ribosomal RNA, 359 nt
Filed under: uncultured bacterium
Lineage: Bacteria
Description: bacterial SSU rRNA
Rfam family: Bacterial small subunit ribosomal RNA
Source: RNAcentral